This 492-nucleotide ribosomal RNA is filed under the name uncultured bacterium. RNAcentral's name for it is "partial 16S ribosomal RNA". It matches the Rfam family "Bacterial small subunit ribosomal RNA", at positions 29 to 507 of the family's 1533-position model. The record is from RNAcentral.
AGUGAACGCUGGCGGUAGGCCUAACACAUGCAAGUCGAACGGCAGCACAGUAAGAGCUUGCUCUUACGGGUGGCGAGUGGCGGACGGGUGAGGAAUACAUCGGAAUCUACUUUUUCGUGGGGGAUAACGUAGGGAAACUUACGCUAAUACCGCAUACGACCUACGGGUGAAAGCAGGGGAUCUUCGGACCUUGCGCGAUUGAAUGAGCCGAUGUCGGAUUAGCUAGUUGGCGGGGUAAAGGCCCACCAAGGCGACGAUCCGUAGCUGGUCUGAGAGGAUGAUCAGCCACAAUGGAACUGAGAAACGGUCCAGACUCCUAAGGGAGGCAGCAGUGGGGAAUAUUGGACCAUGGGCGCAAACCUGAUCCAACCAUACCGCGUGGGUGAAGAAGGCCUUCGGGUUGUAAAGCCCUUUUGUUGGGAAAGAAAAGCAGCAGGUUAAUACCCCGCUGUUCUGACGGUACCCAAAGAAUAAGCACCGGCUAACUUCGUG